AACGAACGCUGGCGGCAGGCCUAACACAUGCAAGUCGAACGCCCCGCAAGGGGAGUGCAGACGGGUGAGUAACGCGUGGGAACGUACCCUUCGGUUCGGAAUAACCCGGGGAAACUCGGGCUAAUACCGGAUACGUCCGCAAGGAGAAAGAUUUAUCGCCGAAGGAUCGGCCCGCGUCGGAUUAGCUAGUUGGUGGGGUAAUGGCCCACCAAGGCGACGAUCCGUAGCUGGUCUGAGAGGAUGAUCAGCCACACUGGGACUGAGACACGGCCCAGACUCCUACGGGAGGCAGCAGUGGGGAAUAUUGGACAAUGGGCGAAAGCCUGAUCCAGCCAUGCCGCGUGAGUGAAGAAGGCCUUAGGGUUGUAAAGCUCUUUCAGCGGGGAAGAUAAUGACGGUACCCGCAGAAGAAGCCCCGGCUAACUUCGUGCCAGCCGCCGCAGUAAG
This 447-nucleotide ribosomal RNA is filed under the name uncultured bacterium. RNAcentral's name for it is "bacterial SSU rRNA". It matches the Rfam family "Bacterial small subunit ribosomal RNA", at positions 29 to 524 of the family's 1533-position model. The record is from RNAcentral.